UUUACAUUUUGUAGACCGAAAUUGUCUGAUAAUGUAAUUCUACUUGGGAUUAAUUGGUGUGUUUAAAUUAAGUAAUGAUCAAAUGUGAAGUGACCCAUUCACGUGACAUUGACCGAUGUUGUGUCAGGCCAGAUUAACCAUGCCCAUGUUUGUCCUGUGUCAGUGACCAUGUGAUUCUUUGGCCAUGCCCAGGAGGGAGUGACUGAGUUAUGGGGUGCAGAAGAAGCACAAGCCAUCUCGACAUGAUGAAUCAUCCCCAACAGCGCUUGAGGAUGGUUUCCUGCUCAAUGAGGAUGAAUCCAUAACUGAGAACUGAGGAUGAUACUUCUCUCAACACUGCAUUGUAUGAAGACAAAGCAACUCAGUGUGGUUAGUCAUCGUCAACAACAGAACCAGACUAAGCUGACGUUGGAGACUGUCAAGUUGAGAUCACUGUGCCUAUCAGGGUUGAGUGUUACAUACUGAACGAAGUGAUCCAAAGCAAUUUAUUGUCAAUACGCACGCUAGAGACCUGGACAUUCGCUUUUUACAUUCAGAUCAAAGCAUGGCAAAACAUAUUUAAGGAUGAAAGUAUGUGUUAAUGAAGCAGGACACACUACUGAACAUGUUCAUGGUUAGGAAGUUGCCCAGAACCAUUUUUUGUGGGAACAAAUUUCUAGUGAUUAUCUUUUUGCCCUUUAGCUCACCUGAGCACAAUGUGCUAAUGGUGAGCUUUUUUGAUCGCCUUUUGGCAGUCGUGGAGUGCGUGUUGUGUGGCGUCAACAUUUGCCUUGUAAACAAUCUUGAGGCCACAUUAAUUGUCCAAACUUCAUGAAAUUUGGUCAGAACAUUUUUCCAAAUGAAAUCUUGGACAAGUUAAAAAAUUGUUCCGGUUUAUUGUCCGUCAUCAUGAAACUUGGUCAGAAGAUUUGUCAAAAUGAUAUCUUGGGCAAGUUCAAAAAUGGUUC
Molecule: long non-coding RNA, 947 nt
Organism: Dreissena polymorpha
Lineage: Eukaryota; Metazoa; Mollusca; Bivalvia; Myida; Dreissenidae
Exons: 2
Source: RefSeq, a predicted model, not a curated record